RNAcentral lists this long non-coding RNA (5408 nucleotides) under Capsicum annuum. Its description in RNAcentral is "long non-coding RNA (CANN_LNC019331)". Lineage: Eukaryota; Viridiplantae; Streptophyta; Magnoliopsida; Solanales; Solanaceae. The record is from RNAcentral.
UGGAAUGCUACCACUACUGCUGGGCUGGAGCUCGUGUCUCGGAACCUAUGGUGUAACAUGGAAAAAAACCACCAUAGCGCAAAUGCGUCAGUACAACUGGAGUACUGAGUAUACGAGGAAGGCAGGCUAAACAUAAAGGGUUUCAUGCAUGAACAACACUGACUGACUAAUAUGAACUGGGAGUGCAAACACACAUAUAUCAAAACUGGGACCGUAAAUACGUGAUAGCAUGACCUGUAAGCUAAUACAUGGUUUACUGAUAACUAUCAUGACUGAUAUUGAAACUGAUAACAUGGACGACUGUAUCUGACAGUCCUUUAUAUACUGAAAUCUGAAGAACGCCCUGAUUUCUUUUAUUGAGACUGAUACUAAAACUGUGGGAAGUAGUGUCUAACCGACAUGCCCCAUGUCUGCCGUUAUAGCUAAGCUGGGGUCCAAUCUCUGCCCCAACUGGAGGGGUAUCAAUACUGUGCCAUGAGUAAGGACAGCCUGUGAGUGGCCCUUAUCUGGCGAGUACUCAAUAAGAAUGCUGGGAACCCUAAACUGAUGGGUUAAGCCACCUCAUCAACCCUAAUUUGAUGGGUUAUGAUGUCUCAACCUAUGCUAGCUACGUAGUUCUGGAACAUAAGGAUGACUACUAAGAAUCACACCCUAAACUAGCGGGUGAGUUCCCAUCCUUGGGUUCACUCGGUGCUAAUCUCUACUCCCAUCUGGAGGUACUGGACAUGAAUAACUGACUGUGCAUGACUUAAUCUUACUGAAUUCCAUUGACUGGCGGAAUGUUACUGAUAUCUAACAAUUGACUAAGAUCAUGAGGUUUUCUUGAGUCACUUGACUAACUGAAGUCUAUGGAAUCAUAGCUUGAGUUCGGAUAUCGUGAAACAUGACAUGGAUCUAGGCACACAUCUAUAGUUUUUGGAUACAAGUACCCCCAAGACUCGAUGGAAGGAAACUAACACACAUGACUGACUUGAUCAUAAGAGUAGAGUCCAUAAUUUAUAAUAUUAUAAGUAGGGAUCUCAUACUAAGAAUGGUUAUCAACAAUGUAUUGCAUGGAAAGGCUUUUAUAUCACGUGGAAGUACUUGUACUCUCUUAAUAUCAUGUUCAUUGCAUAAUCAUAUUGGCAACACAUACCAAUAGCAUGGAAGUUCAUGUGGAUUGCAUGGUUAUCAUACAUCUUGUUCAUAAGUAGGAUUUGCAAGUAAACAUAGCAUAAUCUCAUAAGAAUAGUUCAUGAGUAUUCCAACAACAUUUACAAGGCACAUUAUCAACAUAGAAUUCAUUGAAACGUAAGGGCACAUCAUCAAUCCUUCACUUAGUCACAAUUUUGCUAUAUUGCAUGAUUUCUAGUUUCUUAGGCAUUUUAUCAAACACCUUACAUGCACAUCUUAAGAAUAGGUGAAAUCAUCCAAUUGUACGUCAUGAAAAACCAAAUUUACAGGUUUCCAACUCAUAUGAUAUCAUGAAUUCACAAAAACAUAUAAAGAUUUCAUCUUGGAAAUCACCCAAUAUCAACAACAUGAUCAUCAACACCCAAUAAUAUAGAAAUCAUACUUUAUAAUGAAAAAGAGGGUUUUUGAGCUUUAUGGAUGAAAGGGAUCCAUAAAUCAACUCACGCAUACAAUUAUAUAGCAAAACAAACAAGCAUCAACAUGGGUAUGACCAUAUCACCACAAUCAACCAAGCUUUUGUAUUGUAAAGAUUGAUUCUUGAACUCCACGGACGAAAGGUAUCUGUGGAUGAAUACUACGCAUACCUUAGAAGGAAGAUUCUUGAUGAUUGACGGAGAAAUUUACUUGAAAUUGGAUCUUCAAGCUUAGUUAUGCAACCCUAGUUGUUUGUCUCCUUUAGUGCUCUUGGGUGAAGAGAUUUGAGAUGAAAAUAGGGUUGUAAUAUGUUUUGAUGCUAUAUAUUUCAUGGGGUUAAGUUUAUGGACGUGUAAGGAGUAUUUAAAGACUUUAUUACCUUUAAAAUAACUCAAAACGGAGUGUUUUUGACACCUGGAAUUGACUUAGGCGGUGCCUAGGUGAUCUCCUAUGCUUGGGGUGGGCGGAGCCUAACCAAUCGCCUAUGCUUGGGUUGGGCGGCGCCUAACCAAUCGCCUAUGCUUGGGUUGGGCGGUGCCUAACCAAUCGCCUAUGCUUACUGUCUCUCACAAAAAUAGGUAUAACUUUUCGCUCGGCUAUUGGAUUAAGGCGAAAUUGGUAUCGUUGGAAAUCUAAUCCGAUUCUCUACAAUUUGGUGAGUCUAAAUCAGCCAAAAUAUCAUAUUAACAUCGAUUUAUACUCAUUCAAAGAUGACCCUUGUAAAAUCAAACACUAAAACUUACUGUAUUCAAAAACUCUUAACUUGUAUUACCUUAAGUGACUCAUAUGAACAAGGUUAAGCUAUCCUAUCACCAGGAUAUUCAUUGUAAGUCAUGUACUCAAGUAUGAAUCACAGGAUAGGAGAUUUCAUAUGUAGGAAUACUUAUUCACUUCCUAGCUUAGAAACAUACGGGGUAUUACAACUAAGGUGACCCUUAGUACCAUUUUCAACCCGUAGAUAAAUGGGCAAGCGAAAAAGAUAAUUCACGUCUUGGAAGAUAUGCUUCGGGCUUCUAUGUUUGAUUGUGGUGGUGGUUGGGUUGACCACUUGCCUCUCAUAGAAUUUUUCUACAACAACAGUUGUCACUCUAUCAUUGGUAUGGCUCCGUUUGAGGCCUUAUAUGGUAUAAGAUGUAGGUCUCCUAUUGAGUGGUUUGAGGUUGGUGAGAAUAAGUUGUUUGGUCCUGAUUUGAUUCACCAAGCCAUAUAGAAGGUGAAAGUGAUUCAAGAUAGACUUAAGGCUGUCCAAAGUCGUCAAAAAUCUUAUGUUGAUAUAAAGUGAAGAGAGUUAGAGUUUAGUGUUGGUGAUUGGAUAUUUUUGAAGUUGUCCCGCAAUGAAGGGAGUGAUGCCAUUUGGUAAGAAGGGGAAGCUCAAUCCUUGCUAUAUUGGUCCUUACUUGGUUUUGAAGAGGGUUGGUAAUGUCACUUAUAAAUUGGAUUUGCCUUCUAGAUUGAGCACCAUUUAUUCGGUGUUUAAUGUUUCGAUAUUAAAAAAGUGUGUGGGUGAUCCUUUGAUGGUUGCUCCUUUAGAAGAGGUGGGUAUCUCAGAUUUCUUGUCUUAUAAGGUAUCCCAAUUGAGAUUUUGUAUCAGCAAGUCCAUCAGUUGCGGACUAAGGAUGGGGCUUUGAUAAGGGUUCUUUGGAAGAACCAAAAGGUUGAGGAAGCUACUUGGAAAGCUAAUGAGGACAUGAAUUCAAAGUAUCCAUUCUUGUUUACCAUUUCAGAUAAUCAUUCUUGAGGUAUGUGUAUCACCUGACAUCUUUAUUUUCUUACUUUGUUAAAGAAAAUGGUAACUUCCUUGGCAUCUUUGUUUUCUAUCUUUGUUAAAGGUAAAAGUAGUGUUAUCUGGAGUCAAAUCAUGCUAAUAAAUGCCUUGUCUUGUCAUUCAAGGAAGAAAGAACAUAACGAUAGGAGUAUGUAAUGCCCCGACUUUUUGGAACUGAAGAAUUUUUGAAAAUUUUAUCCUCACGAUUCGUAGGAUGUCUUAACAGGUCGUAUCUACUCAAUCGUAAUUUAAUCAGAACAAAUGUCUUAGUUUUCUAUUUUGAGUACGAGUGGCUCUCAACUAGUCAUCAGGACUUCUUACUGGUCGUAAGGACCAAUUCAUAAGGUGUCCAGUAAGUAUGGCCCAAGACACUGUCUUCAUUAUGAUUUAAGGCCCUGAGUCGUAAAGACUCAUGACGAGUCGUUAUGAUCCAAUCGUAGGGUGUCCAGUGUGUCAUCACAAAUUAUUGCUGUCCUGAGUACAAGAAAUGCUUACGAUCCAUAAUGAUUGGUUAUGAGUUGGUGGUAUUACUCAUAGCCAGACCAGGAUGAGGCUUUGGUGAUUUAGUCCUAGCUACAACUCCUUGUGAUGAGUCGUAAUGUGUCUUUACGAGUCGUAUACUGACCCAUAGUCACUUGUGACGUCUUUUCAUUAAGGUCACUUUACAUAUUUCCCCUCUAUCACAAUUGUAACCCACUACUUAAAACCAUAUUGGGGACCGCAUUAGCAUUGUUAACUCACUAAAAUAUUUUCAAAAGACUGUCUCAAAUUCUCUCAAGGAGCCAUACUUAGGGUUUCUAAGAAGUGGGUCAAGUCAAGCUUCAAGUGUUGAAUUCUUUUUGUAAUCUUGGGUAUUUUAGGAAUGUUACUCUUCCCUCAUUGAUAAUUUGUUAAAAUCAUAUAUUUUAAUGUACUAUUCAUAGACUUAGGGUACGUUUCUCUAAAAACACUAUCCAGGUACACGUUAACUAACGUGCACCUGCCAUGGGCAGGAGGCCGAACAACACUACCCUAGAUGAAAAAUCGAUGUCGGAGGCUCCAAUCAAGGGAUUGAAGUCCGAUAUAGGGGGAAUUGUACCAUCCAUUAGUGGAGUUAGUAUAGGAGGCAAUGGAAAAUUGCAAAGGUAAAAGGCCAUAGGGAUAUGCACUCCGAUGAAGGUGUCUGAACUUAUGCCAGCAAAGACGCGAGAAUAGGAAUGGUCGAUUGUUUCAAUUCAGCUAGGUUGAAGUUCUAUUGGGCGGAAAAAGUAGAUAUUGCGGAAGCCAAGUCUGGGGCAAGUAUUGGGGGCAACCUCGAAAGGAACAAUCUAUAUGGAAGGAUUUUGACAUCCCAAAGCUAACAAAUGCAGGAUUUAUUCUUGAAUAUAUUGAUCCAGAACAAGUGGGCGAUCAGUUGAUAGGUGAUAUUGUCUCAAAGGAUAUCAAAAUAGAGGUGGAAUACUGGUAAAAUGCACUAGUUUGUUAUGUCCUUAGAGCUCACCCCUCUUUUUUUUUAUUCUGAACGGAUUUAUCCAGAGGAUUUGGGGGAAAUAUAGAUUAAAUAAGAUAACAACAAUGAAAAUGGAAUUGUGUUAGUAAUAUUUGACAUUGAGGAUGGAAAAAUGGAAGAACUAUAGGGAGGUAUUUACCACUUUGAUAGUAAGCCAUUUAUUGUCAAGGCUUGGUUACCUGAGAUGGAGUUCUUAAAAGAUGAGUUAUCGACAGUGCCGAUUUGGAUUAAGCUACCCAGACUGGAUUUCAAAUACUGGAGCCCCAAAGGCUUGAGAAAAUUAGAAGUUUAGUAGGGCAGCUACUCAUGGUGGAUAAAUCUACUGAGAAGAAAUCAGGCUUAAGUUUUGCUCGAUUAUUAGUUGAGGUAAAAGUGGGGACUGAGUUACCAGAUGAGGUAUUGUUCAAAAAUGAGAAGGGUAGAGUAAUGGUACAGAAAGUUAUAUAUGAUUGGAAACCAUUAAUUUAUGCUCACUAUCAUAGAUAUAGGCAUGUGGGGGAGGAUUGUAGGAAACUACAACCUAAACUAGUGGCCAAGCAGGAUCCCAAGAAAACACCACAGGUGUCC